AGUACACAUCAGUGUAUUGCCUGCAAGUGAAUUCAUAGCUUGUCGGCGGCAGACGCGGGGAACUGAAACAUCUCAGUACCCGCAGGAAGAGAAAGAAAACUCGAUUCCCAUAGUAGCGGCGAGCGAAGUGGGAAGAGCCCAAACCGAGAAGCUUGCUUCUCGGGGUUGUAGGACUGGACAUUGGAGUUACCAAAGUUCGACGUAGUCGAAGUCAGCUGGAAAGCUGCGCCAUAGAAGGUGAAAGCCCUGUAAACGAAACGGCGGACCCUCCGUCCAGGAUCCUGAGUACGGCGGAACACGUGAAAUUCCGUCGGAAUCCGGGAGGACCAUCUCCCAAGGC
Molecule: ribosomal RNA, 340 nt
Filed under: Lacticaseibacillus casei
Lineage: Bacteria; Bacillati; Bacillota; Bacilli; Lactobacillales; Lactobacillaceae
Description: bacterial LSU rRNA
Rfam family: Bacterial large subunit ribosomal RNA
Source: RNAcentral